Molecule: transfer RNA, 24 nt
Filed under: Phyllodactylus lanei lanei
Lineage: Eukaryota; Metazoa; Chordata; Lepidosauria; Squamata; Phyllodactylidae
Description: partial tRNA-His
Source: RNAcentral
CAAGUGAGCAUAGUUUAACCAAAA